AGAGUUUGAUCAUGGCUCAGAGUGAACGCUGGCGGCAUGCCUAACACAUGCAAGUCGAACGGUAACAGGCCCGCAAGGGUGCUGACGAGUGGCGGACGGGUGAGGAAUACAUCGGAAUUUGCCCAUGUCGUGGGGGAUAACGUAGGGAAACUUACGCUAAUACCGCAUACGACCGAGAGGUGAAAGCGGGGGAUCCGUAAGGACCUCGCGCGAUUGGAUGAGCCGAUGUCGGAUUAGCUAGUUGGCGGGGUAAAGGCCCACCAAGGCGACGAUCCGUAGCUGGUCUGAGAGGAUGAUCAGCCACACUGGGACUGAGACACGGCCCAGACUCCUACGGGAGGCAGCAGUGGGGAAUAUUGGACAAUGGGGGCAACCCUGAUCCAGCAAUGCCGCGUGUGUGAAGAAGGCCUUCGGGUUGUAAAGCACUUUUAUCCGGAACGAAACGCGCUUGGUAAUAGCCAGGCGAACUGACGGUACCGGAGGAAUAAGCACCGGCUAACUUCGUGCCAGCAGCCGCGGUA
RNAcentral lists this ribosomal RNA (521 nucleotides) under uncultured Pseudomonadota bacterium. RNAcentral describes it as "bacterial SSU rRNA". It matches the Rfam family "Bacterial small subunit ribosomal RNA", at positions 8 to 522 of the family's 1533-position model. The record is from RNAcentral. Lineage: Bacteria; Pseudomonadati; Pseudomonadota.